RNAcentral lists this ribosomal RNA (25 nucleotides) under Spirulina sp. Its description in RNAcentral is "partial 23S rRNA". Lineage: Bacteria; Bacillati; Cyanobacteriota; Cyanophyceae; Spirulinales; Spirulinaceae. The record is from RNAcentral.
GGUCAAGUUACAAAGAGCUAACGGU